GACGAACGCUGGCGGCGCGCUUAACACAUGCAAGUCGAACGGAAAGGCCCUGCUUUUGUGGGGUGCUCGAGUGGCGAACGGGUGAGUAACACGUGAGUAACCUGCCCUUGACUUUGGGAUAACUUCAGGAAACUGGGGCUAAUACCGGAUAGGAGCUCCUGCUGCAUGGUGGGGGUUGGAAAGUUUCGGCGGUUGGGGAUGGACUCGCGGCUUAUCAGCUUGUUGGUGGGGUAGUGGCUUACCAAGGCUUUGACGGGUAGCCGGCCUGAGAGGGUGACCGGCCACAUUGGGACUGAGAUACGGCCCAGACUCCUACGGGAGGCAGCAGUGGGGAAUAUUGCACAAUGGGCGGAAGCCUGAUGCAGCAACGCCGCGUGCGGGAUGACGGCCUUUGGGUUGUAAACCGCUUUCGCCUGUGACGAAGCGUGAGUGACGGUAAUGGGUAAAGAAGCACCGGCUAACUACGUG
RNAcentral lists this ribosomal RNA (468 nucleotides) under uncultured bacterium. RNAcentral's name for it is "partial 16S ribosomal RNA". It matches the Rfam family "Bacterial small subunit ribosomal RNA", at positions 28 to 507 of the family's 1533-position model. The record is from RNAcentral.